AGGUAGGGAUACCCGCUGAACUUAAGCAUAUCAAUAAGCGGAGGAAAAGAAACCAACAGGGAUUGCCUUAGUAACGGCGAGUGAAGCGGCAAAAGCUCAAAUUUGAAAUCUGKCACCAUUGGUGUCCGAGUUGUACUUUGGAGAGGCAUCUUCUGGAGGGGCCCARCCUAUGUGCCUUGGAACAGGACGUCAUAGAGGGUGAGAAUCCCGUCCUUGGUUGGAUGUUCCCUCCUGUAUGUAGUGUCUUCUACGAGUCGAGUUGUUUGGGAAUGCAGCUCAAAAUGGGUGGUAAAUUUCAUCUAAAGCUAAAUAUUGGCGAGAGACCGAUAGCGCACAAGUAGAGUGAUCGAAAGAUGAAAAGCACUUUGAAAAUAGAGUCAAACAGUACGUGAAAUUGUUGAAAGGGAAGCGCUUGAGAUCAGAGUCAGCCUUUGGCAAACAACUACUCCUUCUGGGUGGUGCACUUGUCAUUGGUUGGGCCAGCAUCGGUUGGGACGGCAGGAUAAAGGCCCAGGGAAUGUGACUCCUUUAUGGAGUGUUAUAGCCCCAGGCGGCAUACUGUCUGCCCCGACCGUGG
This 577-nucleotide ribosomal RNA is filed under the name Tuber sp. GB350. Its description in RNAcentral is "eukaryotic LSU rRNA". It matches the Rfam family "Eukaryotic large subunit ribosomal RNA", at positions 13 to 593 of the family's 3401-position model. The record is from RNAcentral. Lineage: Eukaryota; Fungi; Ascomycota; Pezizomycetes; Pezizales; Tuberaceae.